Aegilops tauschii subsp. strangulata is the source of this 1134-nucleotide RNA transcript. RefSeq lists it as uncharacterized. The record is from RefSeq and is a predicted model, not a curated record. NCBI's taxonomy places the organism in Eukaryota, Viridiplantae, Streptophyta, Magnoliopsida, Poales, Poaceae.
ACAAAGGGCACGCCGCUCGUAAAAAAAAAAAAAAAAAGGGCACGCUGCCGUCCGCCAUCGCAAGGUCAGCCGGUAGGGCACGCCGCCGUUCGCUCGUCGGCACCCCGGCGUCCCAAUCGUGCCCGCGUGCGCCGCCACCCCUGCUUCCCGCUCGUCGCCGUCCCGGCAUCCCGCUUGUCCCCACGUGCGCCGCCUUUUUGCCUCCGCCGGCGCCGCCACUGCUCCCUGCUCGUCGCCGCCGGUGGAGCAAGAGGAAGGGUGCUGCGAGGGACGAGCACAAGAAGCCGGCAGAGGAGGAGAACAAGAAUCCGGCGUGGGAGGAUGUGGAUCCGGCGAGAAAGCAGGUCCAAGAUUGAUGCGGGAGAGGUGCAGCAGCUGUAUGGUGCCACUGAGAAGAUACACCCUGGGGUUGAUGCACAGCCGGAAGGCGAGGACUGCGAUGACCACAAAAAGAAGGGGCAGGUCUUCUAUCCUUCAGACCGGCCAACAGAGCAGUUGUUCUACCAAGCAAGCAAAUGCAGUGAAGAAACCACCACCACCGGUUUUUCACAGCCGAAGCACAUACUCUCAGACGUGAACGCAGCGGCGACAGGAAUAGGAGAUGGCGACGAAGCAUUGUUCUGACAAGUAGCACAAUACCAGGUCAUUGCACUUUCGAUGAGCAGUGCAUUCAUGUAUCCGUGCAUACUUUUCUGGUUCAAGUACCCUGAAUGAGAGGAAUGAAUCUAAGAAGAGAAGCGAAAAUUUUGUUUCAGUAUGUGUUGGCAAAUGGUUUGGAAGUAGGCAGCAGGUCCCAAUCAAGCCAACGGGUUUUCUUCUGAAACUUUGAUGGCUUGAUUAAUUAUUAGGAAGAUGGAUGCCUCAGAAGAGGAGUUCAUGUGCAGAAGAAAGAAGCUGAGAAGAAGAGGUUUCAAGAAAAGAGCAACUCACAUGAGAAAUUCUGAAUCCUCAAGGUGAGUGUAUAGCAGCUAGUAUGCAAAGUUAUUCAUGGUGCUAUUGACAGGCACUUUCAGUUUUCUCUUUUGUUCCACGCUGAUGAUAUCAGCUUGUAAAAUCAAUACAGUACGGACUAAGCAGUACUGCAUAUUGACUCACAAUGAUACUACUCUACUUAUUAGUACUCAUCGCCAUUAA